Molecule: ribosomal RNA, 1202 nt
Filed under: Guibemantis woosteri
Lineage: Eukaryota; Metazoa; Chordata; Amphibia; Anura; Mantellidae
Description: partial 16S ribosomal RNA
Rfam family: Bacterial large subunit ribosomal RNA
Source: RNAcentral
UAGUCUGUCUAACUAAGCAAAACGAAUUUUAGUUUUACCCCCCGAAACUAGGUGAGCUACUUCGAAAUAGUUAUAAGAACUAACCCGUCUCUGUUGCAAAAGAGUGGGAAAAUUUCCAAGUAGAGGCGAUAAACCUACCGCACCAAGAGAUAGCUGGUUACUCAAGAAAAGAAUAUAAGUUCUUCCUCAAGUUUUUUAGUCCCCAUAAACCCCAAUUAAACUUUAGAGUUAUUCAAAUAGGGCACAGCUUAUUUGAAAAAGGAUACAACCUACCAUAUCGGGUAAUUAAUCAAGAAAAACUGUCAAGUGGGCCUAAAAGCAGCCACCUUUCAAAAAGCGUUAAAGCUUUACUUUUAUUCUUUAAAAAUAACCUUAUUAUUACUCAACCCAUUACUAAUAUUGAGUGACUCCAUAAGAAUAUGGAAGAAAUAAUGCUAGAACUAGUAACAAGAAGUAGAACUUCUCCAAAAUGUAAGCCUAAGCCACUUUAGACACCCUAUUGGCAAUUAACGCUUAUGAAUCCACUUUAAUAACUUCCCCAAGAGAACUUUAAACAUCUCAACGUUAAACUUACACUAGAACAUUUUUGGAAAGAUAAAAAGAAAAAGAAGGAACUCGGCAAAUAUAAACCCCGCCUGUUUACCAAAAACAUCGCCUCUUGUCUAAAUAUAAGAGGUCCAGCCUGCCCAGUGAUAAAAUUUAACGGCCGCGGUACCCUAACCGUGCAAAGGUAGCAUAAUCACUUGUUCUUUAAAUGAGGACUAGUAUCAACGGCAUCACGAGGGUUAAACUGUCUCCUUUUUCAUAUCAGUGAAACUAAUCUCCCCGUGAAGAAGCGGGGAUAAUUUUAUAAGACGAGAAGACCCCAUGGAGCUUUAAACCCAACUACACCCCUCUUAGCUUUACUUUUUAACCUUUAGGGCACUGUAUGUUAUGGUUUUAGGUUGGGGUGACCACGGAGCAUAAAAUAGCCUCCACAAUGAAUAGACCUCCUCUUUAUCCAAGACUGACACUUCUAAGAAUUAGUAUUCUAACAUAAAAUGAUCCGAUAUUCGAUCAACGAACCAAGUUACCCUGGGGAUAACAGCGCAAUCCACUUCAAGAGCUCCUAUCGACAAGCGGGUUUACGACCUCGAUGUGGAUCAGGGUAUCCUAGUGGUGCAGCAGCUACUAAAGGUUCGUUUGUUCAACGAUUAAAACCC